CCCUUAGAUGUUCGGGGCCGCACGCGCGCUACACUGAAGGAAUCAGCACGUCUUUCUCCUUGUCCGAAAGGACUGGGUAACCCGCUGAACCUCCUUCGUGCUAGGGAUUGGGGCUUGUAAUUCUUCCCCAUGGACGAGGAAUUCCCAGUAAGCGCGAGUCAUAAGCUCGCGUUGAUUACGUCCCUGCCCUUUGUACACACCGCCCGUCGCUACUACCGAUUGGAUGGUUUAGUGAGAUCCUCGGAUUGGUCCCGGCGCGGCCUCUGGUCGUGCCGGAGUGCCGAAAAGAAUGUCGAACUUGAUCAUCUAGAGGAAGUAAAAGUCGUAACA
RNAcentral lists this ribosomal RNA (330 nucleotides) under uncultured eukaryote. Its description in RNAcentral is "partial 18S ribosomal RNA". It matches the Rfam family "Eukaryotic small subunit ribosomal RNA", at positions 1470 to 1796 of the family's 1831-position model. The record is from RNAcentral.